Molecule: ribosomal RNA, 462 nt
Filed under: uncultured bacterium
Lineage: Bacteria
Description: partial 16S ribosomal RNA
Rfam family: Bacterial small subunit ribosomal RNA
Source: RNAcentral
GACGAACGCUGGCGGCGUGCUUAACACAUGCAAGUCGAACGGAAAGGCCCUUCGGGGUACUCGAGUGGCGAACGGGGGCGGAAGAGGUGGGUGAGCUGCCCUGCACUUUGGGAUAAGGCUGGGAAACUGGGUCUAAUACCGGUAAGGACCACGACAUUCAUGUGCUGUGGUGGGAAGCUUUGGCGGUGUGGGAUGGGCGCGCGGCCUAUCAUCUUGUUGGUGGGGUAGUGGCCUACCAAGGCGACGACGGGUAGCCGGCCUGAGAGGGUGACCGGCCACACUGGGACUGAGAUACGGCCCAGACUCCUACGGGAGGCAGCAGUGGGGAAUAUUGCACAAUGGGCGCAAGCCUGAUGCAGCGACGCCGCGUGAGGGAUGACGGCCUUCGGGUUGUAAACCGCUUUCGCCUGAGACGAAGCGCAAGUGACGGUACCUGGAGAAGAAGGACCGGCUAACUACGUG